RNAcentral lists this ribosomal RNA (497 nucleotides) under uncultured bacterium. RNAcentral's name for it is "partial 16S ribosomal RNA". It matches the Rfam family "Bacterial small subunit ribosomal RNA", at positions 28 to 507 of the family's 1533-position model. The record is from RNAcentral.
GACGAACGCUGGCGGCGUGCCUAAUACAUGCAAGUUGAGCGCUGAAGGUUGGUACUUGUACCAACUGGAUGAGCAGCGCACGGGUGAGUAACGCGUGGGGAAUCUGCCUUUGAGCGGGGGACAACAUUUGGAAACGAAUGCUAAUACCGCAUAAAAACUUUAAACACAAGUUUUAAGUUUGAAAGAUGCCAUUGCAUCACUCAAAGAUGAUCCCGCGUUGUAUUAGCUAGUUGGUGAGGUAAAGGCUCACCAAGGCGAUGAUACAUAGCCGACCUGAGAGGGUGAUCGGCCACAUUGGGACGGAGACACGGCACAAACGCAUACGGGAGGCAGCAGGAGGGAAUCGUCGGCAAUGGACGAAAGUCUGACCGAGCAACGCCGCGUGAGUGAAGAAGGGUGUCGGAUCGUAAAACUCGGUUGGUAGAGAAGAACGUUGGUGAGAGUGGAAAGAUCAUCAAGUGACGGUAACUACCCAGAAAGGGACGGCUAACUACGUG